Non-coding RNA from Triticum aestivum (bread wheat), 124 nucleotides. Lineage: Eukaryota; Viridiplantae; Streptophyta; Magnoliopsida; Poales; Poaceae. The record is from Rfam.
CUAGUACUCCCUCCGUCCGGAAAUAUUUGUCCUUAAAAUGGUUAUAUCUAGAAUUUUUGUAGUUAUAGAUACAUUCAUUUUAUCUAUUUUUAGGACAAGUAUUUCCGGAUGGAGGGAGUAUCAU